This 395-nucleotide ribosomal RNA is filed under the name uncultured Oscillibacter sp. RNAcentral's name for it is "bacterial SSU rRNA". It matches the Rfam family "Bacterial small subunit ribosomal RNA", at positions 354 to 762 of the family's 1533-position model. Lineage: Bacteria; Bacillati; Bacillota; Clostridia; Eubacteriales; Oscillospiraceae. The record is from RNAcentral.
UGAGGGAAUAUUGGGUCAAUGGGGCGGAAGCCUGAACCAGCCAAGUAGCGUGAGGGAUGACUGCCCUAUGGGUUGUAAACUUCUUUUGUCAGGGACGAGAAGAAGACGGUACCUGACGAAUAAGCCACGGCUAACUACGUGCCAGCAGCCGCGGUAAUACGUAGGGGCAAGCGUUGUCCGGAUUUACUGGGUGUAAAGGGCGUGUAGCCGGGUCGGCAAGUCAGAUGUGAAAUCCACGGGCUUAACUCGUGAACUGCAUUUGAAACUGUUGAUCUUGAGUAUCGGAGAGGCAAUCGGAAUUCCUAGUGUAGCGGUGAAAUGCGUAGAUAUUAGGAGGAACACCAGUGGCGAAGGCGGAUUGCUGGACGACAACUGACGGUGAGGCGCGAAAGCGU